Molecule: ribosomal RNA, 1562 nt
Filed under: Vibrio parahaemolyticus
Lineage: Bacteria; Pseudomonadati; Pseudomonadota; Gammaproteobacteria; Vibrionales; Vibrionaceae
Description: partial 23S ribosomal RNA
Rfam family: Bacterial large subunit ribosomal RNA
Source: RNAcentral
UGAAUGGGGAAACCCACGUGCAUAAGCACGUAUCCUUACCUGAAUACAUAGGGUAAGGAGGCGAACCGGGGGAACUGAAACAUCUAAGUACCCCGAGGAAAAGAAAUCAACCGAGAUUCCGAAAGUAGCGGCGAGCGAAAUUGGACUAGCCCUUAAGCUUUACACGCGUUAGACGAACGGUCUGGAAAGUCCGACGAUACAGGGUGAUAGUCCCGUAGUUGACGACGUGUGUUCAGUGAAAUCGAGUAGGGCGGGACACGUGAUAUCCUGUCUGAAUAUGGGGGGACCAUCCUCCAAGGCUAAAUACUACUGACUGACCGAUAGUGAACCAGUACCGUGAGGGAAAGGCGAAAAGAACCCCUGUGAGGGGAGUGAAAUAGAACCUGAAACCGUGUACGUACAAGCAGUAGGAGCAGGCUUUGUCCUGUGACUGCGUACCUUUUGUAUAAUGGGUCAGCGACUUAUAUUCAGUGGCAAGGUUAACCAUCUAGGGGAGCCGUAGGGAAACCGAGUCUUAACUGGGCGUUCAGUCUCUGGAUAUAGACCCGAAACCAGGUGAUCUAGCCAUGGGCAGGUUGAAGGUUGAGUAACAUCAACUGGAGGACCGAACCGACUAAUGUUGAAAAAUUAGCGGAUGACUUGUGGCUAGGGGUGAAAGGCCAAUCAAACCUGGAGAUAGCUGGUUCUCCCCGAAAGCUAUUUAGGUAGCGCCUCGGACGAAUACUACUGGGGGUAGAGCACUGUUAAGGCUAGGGGGUCAUCCCGACUUACCAACCCUUUGCAAACUCCGAAUACCAGUAAGUACUAUCCGGGAGACACACGGCGGGUGCUAACGUCCGUCGUGGAGAGGGAAACAACCCAGACCGCCAGCUAAGGUCCCAAAUUACUACUAAGUGGGAAACGAUGUGGGAAGGCUCAGACAGCCAGGAUGUUGGCUUAGAAGCAGCCAUCAUUUAAAGAAAGCGUAAUAGCUCACUGGUCGAGUCGGCCUGCGCGGAAGAUGUAACGGGGCUAAGUAGUAAACCGAAGCUGCGGCAAUAUACUUUUGUAUAUUGGGUAGGGGAGCGUUCUGUAAGCGGUUGAAGGUGUGUGGUAACGCAUGCUGGACGUAUCAGAAGUGCGAAUGCUGACAUGAGUAACGAUAAAGGGGGUGAAAAACCUCCUCGCCGGAAGACCAAGGGUUCCUGUCCAACGUUAAUCGGGGCAGGGUAAGUCGACCCCUAAGGCGAGGCCGAAAGGCGUAGUCGAUGGGAAACGGGUUAAUAUUCCCGUACUUCUUACAAUUGCGAUGGGGGGACGGAGAAGGCUAGGUGGGCCUGGCGACGGUUGUCCAGGUUCAAGUGCGUAGGCUUAAGAGUUAGGUAAAUCCGGCUCUUUUUAAGGCUGAGACACGACGUCGAGCACCUACGGGUGUGAAGUCAUUGAUGCCAUGCUUCCAGGAAAAGCCUCUAAGCUUCAGAUUGUAAGGAAUCGUACCCCAAACCGACACAGGUGGUCGGGUAGAGAAUACCAAGGCGCUUGAGAGAACUCGGGUGAAGGAACUAGGCAAAAUGGUACCGUAA